CCUACGGGAGGCAGCAGUGAGGAAUAUUGGUCAAUGGACGGAAGUCUGAACCAGCCAUGCCGCGUGCAGGAAGACGGCUCUAUGAGUUGUAAACUGCUUUUGUACAAGGGUAAACCUGAAUACGUGUAUUCAGCUGAAAGUACUGUACGAAUAAGGAUCGGCUAACUCCGUGCCAGCAGCCGCGGUAAUACGGAGGAUCCAAGCUUUAUCCGGAUUUAUUGGGUUUAAAGGGUGCGUAGGCGGAUUGAUAAGUUAGAGGUGAAAUGUCCGAGCUUAACUCGGGAACUGCCUCUAAUACUGUUGAUCUAGAGAGUAGAUGCGGUAGGCGGAAUGUAUGGUGUAGCGGUGAAAGGCUUAGAGAUCAUACAGAACACCGAUUGCGAAGGCAGCUUACCAAUCUAUAUCUGACGUUGAGGCACGAAAGCGUGGGGAGCAAACAGGAUUAGAUACCCCUGUAGUC
RNAcentral lists this ribosomal RNA (460 nucleotides) under uncultured bacterium. RNAcentral describes it as "partial 16S ribosomal RNA". It matches the Rfam family "Bacterial small subunit ribosomal RNA", at positions 338 to 795 of the family's 1533-position model. The record is from RNAcentral.